CAGUCGCCGCGGUAAUACAGAGGGUGCGAGCGUUAAUCGGAUUUACUGGGCGUAAAGCGUGCGUAGGCGGCUAAUUGAGUCGGAUGUGAAAUCCCCGAGCUUAACUUGGGAAUUGCAUUCGAUACUGGUUAGCUAGAGUGUGGGAGAGGAUGGUAGAAUUCCAGGUGUAGCGGUGAAAUGCGCAGAGAUCUGGAGGAAUACCGAUGGCGAAGGCAGCCAUCUGGCCUAACACUGACGCUGAGGUACGAAAGCAUGGGGAGCAAACAGGAUUAGAUACCCCAGUAGUCCCUGUCUCUUAUAC
RNAcentral lists this ribosomal RNA (301 nucleotides) under uncultured bacterium. RNAcentral describes it as "partial 16S ribosomal RNA". It matches the Rfam family "Bacterial small subunit ribosomal RNA", at positions 509 to 807 of the family's 1533-position model. The record is from RNAcentral.